AUUUAAAUAAUUUAAGAAAAAUAUUGAUUUGUGGAAUCAAAAAUGUGAUAAAUAAUUCAUCUCUUUAAAUA
RNAcentral lists this transfer RNA (71 nucleotides) under Euschemon rafflesia. RNAcentral's name for it is "tRNA-His". The record is from RNAcentral. Lineage: Eukaryota; Metazoa; Arthropoda; Insecta; Lepidoptera; Hesperiidae.